RNAcentral lists this ribosomal RNA (355 nucleotides) under Eukaryota sp. RNAcentral describes it as "SSU rRNA". It matches the Rfam family "Eukaryotic small subunit ribosomal RNA", at positions 1324 to 1700 of the family's 1831-position model. The record is from RNAcentral.
GGCGUUAACGAACGAGACCUUAACCUGCUAAAUAGCCCGGCUAGCUUUGGCUGGUCGCUGGCUUCUUAGAGGGACUAUCGGCUUCAAGCCGAUGGAAGUUUGAGGCAAUAACAGGUCUGUGAUGCCCUUAGAUGUUCUGGGCCGCACACGCGCUACACUGACAGAGCCAACGAGUUUUUUUCCUUGUCCGGAAGGCCUGGGUAAUCUUGUUAAACUCUGUCGUGCUGGGGAUAGAGCAUUGCAAUUAUUGCUCUUCAACGAGGAAUUCCUAGUAAGCGCAUGUCAUCAGCAUGCGUUGAUUACGUCCCUGCCCUUUGUACACACCGCCCGUCGCUAAUACCGAUUGAAUGGAUAG